This 253-nucleotide ribosomal RNA is filed under the name uncultured bacterium. RNAcentral describes it as "partial 16S ribosomal RNA". It matches the Rfam family "Bacterial small subunit ribosomal RNA", at positions 524 to 776 of the family's 1533-position model. The record is from RNAcentral.
UACGGGGGGGGCAAGCGUUGUUCGGAAUCACUGGGCGUAAAGGGCUCGUAGGCGGCCAACUAAGUCAUACGUGAAAUCCCUCGGCUUAACCGGGGAACUGCGUCUGAUACUGGAUGGCUUGAGUUCGGGAGAGGGAUGCGGAAUUCCAGGUGUAGCGGUGAAAUGCGUAGAUAUCUGGAGGAACACCGGUGGCGAAGGCGGCAUCCUGGACCGAUACUGACGCUGAGGAGCGAAAGCCAGGGGAGCAAACGGG